GAUGAACGCUAGCGGCAGGCUUAAUACAUGCAAGUCGAACGGGAAUUGGGUAGCAAUACCUGAUGAUAGUGGCGCACGGGUGCGUAACGCGUAUGCAACCUACCUUUAACAGGGGGAUAGCCCGGAGAAAUUCGGAUUAAUACCCCAUAGUAUUAUGGAGAGGCAUCUUUUCAUGAUUAAAGUUCCGGCGGUUAAAGAUGGGCAUGCGUGCCAUUAGCUAGUUGGUGAGGUAACGGCUCACCAAGGCGACGAUGGUUAGGGGUCCUGAGAGGGUUAUCCCCCACACUGGUACUGAGACACGGACCAGACUCCUACGGGAGGCAGCAGUAAGGAAUAUUGGUCAAUGGGCGGAAGCCUGAACCAGCCAUGCCGCGUGCAGGAAGACGGCCUUAUGGGUUGUAAACUGCUUUUGUCAGGGAAUAAACCCUCGUUUGCGAACGAGGCUGAAGGUACCUGAAGAAUAAGCAUCGGCUAACUCCGUGCCAGCAGCCGACGGUAAAACGUAG
RNAcentral lists this ribosomal RNA (506 nucleotides) under uncultured bacterium. RNAcentral's name for it is "bacterial SSU rRNA". It matches the Rfam family "Bacterial small subunit ribosomal RNA", at positions 28 to 530 of the family's 1533-position model. The record is from RNAcentral.